UACCCACUCACCACCCGCAGGUAUAUGUAUGCAUGGAUGUAAUCCUUUGUUCCCUUUUCUCUGGCAACUCCUCACUUUCUUUGAAAAAUCUCUCCUCUACCUCACCAGUAAAUACUGUGGUUCCGUGUGAUUCUAUCUUUAUUCUUCUCUAAUCCUAGUGUUCACAUGACCUCUUCUUCUAGGCCAACAUCAUCAACCACCCCUUUUACUAUGAUGAAUCCCAGAGGUCAUUCCUGAUCACCUGACUUAUUGGACAGCUCAAUAUGGAUUUCCCAAAAGCAUCUUAAAAUUCAACAUUCUAACAUUAAAUCCAACAAAUGACCCCAUUCACAAAACUGCUGUUCUUCAUAUGCUGCAGAUCUCAUAAUAAUAGAAGUACUGGUUUCUCAGCAAACUUAAAUGAAAAUUCUUACAGUUCCCUUAACUCUUCUUCCUCCAAUUUAUUUUUCAGCCCAUCAAUCCUAAUUCUUACUUCUUGAAACUUCCCACUUUUUGUCUACAUUACAACCUUUUAAAUCAUCACUUAUCUAAUAUAAUGCAAUAGCUUGAUCAUCAGGACCUGCCUCGUCUGACAUUCUAUCUCUCAACCAGAUGUAUCUGAUUGUUUGACUCCCCUAAUUUAAAAAAUCCUUAUACUUAGCCAGACAAAAAAACUUUUUCAUAUAAGUGCCACAUUUUAUUUUUAUGUAACUCCUUGCUCUGUAUUAACCGUUUUCCUGUUCCUAAGAUGUUCUUCUUCAUAUUUGACAUCAAGUUCUCAUUGGUUCUUUCAGAUUGUGUCCCAUUUCACCCUUUAGAGAAUUUUUGACUUGCAUCCCCAUUCUCAAGCCCCAACCUAGGAAAUUAGCUGUUCUAUACUCCUUGAUCCCCUAACACUUGAUCUGCAAAUGUAUCUUAUUAGAUCACAGCUAUUUGUUUACAUGUGUAUCUCUCCAACUAGAAUAUGAGCUCUUUCAGGGAAAAAACCCUCUUUUAUUCAUCUUUGUCUCCUCAUUGUCUAUUAAUAUUCAAUAAAUUUGUAAAUGAAUGUCCAUCCUGCUGAAGCUCACAAGGUAGUUAAGAAACAAUUUACAUACAGAUUGAUUAGGAAAAAAUGCAAUACAGAGAUAAAGUUGAUAGUUGAAAAUAGUAAAGCCUGCAUAAUAUUGCCUUACAGAAGGUAAAAGCUUAUUUUUUUUCUAAAUUAUGAAAUAGUGUAACUUUUUAUUUUUUAAAUCAAUUUAAAUUUUUUUUAAGAGGGAUUGGGGAGGGGCAAAAAGAGAGAGAGAGAGAAUCUCAAGCAGGCUCCAUGCCCAGCAGGCUCCAUCUCAACCCUGAGAUCAUGACCUGAGUUAAAAAUCAAGAGUCGGAUAUUUAACUGACUGAAUCACCCAAGUGCCCCAUUAAUGUAACUAAUUAUAAAUUUGAUUCUCAAACUGUAUGCUGCACAUUUACAAACACACAAAUUUGAUAUGACAUACACUGAUGAAAUGUCCAAUAGGAUGAGGUAUAAAUAAAUAAGCAAAUUAGAGUAAGCCAUCCAACUAAAUAGUAACUCUGGUAAAGGUAUUUCUUGGCAUUCUGUAGUUUAAAUACCCUUCAGUUUGCUAGGAUUGAGAAUAGACCAAAAAAAAAAAAAAAAAAAAAAAAAAGGACUGAGAGAGAUUGUAUCAUAGUCUUCUAGCCUAAGCAACACAUUUGUCGGACAGCAAGAUCUCUGGGGAGGCUUUUGGUCUUUAAACAAGGGGACAUGGAAGUUUCUAAGAAUAUGCUUCUAAAAAUAAAAUCUAAUGUACUCUAGUAGGCUAAAGAAAUGAGAGUUUUGAUAAGAUAUGAUGAACUUCAAAAUGGCAGGAACUCAUAGAAAAAAA
Molecule: long non-coding RNA, 1850 nt
Filed under: Canis lupus familiaris (dog)
Lineage: Eukaryota; Metazoa; Chordata; Mammalia; Carnivora; Canidae
Description: lncRNA (ENSCAFG00000053242.1)
Source: RNAcentral